Molecule: long non-coding RNA, 269 nt
Filed under: Gossypium barbadense (sea-island cotton)
Lineage: Eukaryota; Viridiplantae; Streptophyta; Magnoliopsida; Malvales; Malvaceae
Description: long non-coding RNA (GBAR_LNC008119)
Source: RNAcentral
UCAGGUUCAGCUAUGAGACCUAGGAAGAAGGCUAGUUUUGAUGGGCCAACUAGAAUUAAGGUCCUUGUGGCCAUUUUCGGUUCACAGCCUUGUAUUGUUUACGCCAUCAGGAUGAUUUUUGGGUGCAGAAGGGGGCAUGUUUCAGGUGUAGAUCAAUGAAGCACAAUAUCAGGGAUUGCCCACGGAGGCCUGAUCAGGUACAAGCUACUGGUUUGGGUACUGUUUAGUCACUGUUUAGUCACAAAGAGGUUUUCAGGAGCCACCGAGAG